Molecule: ribosomal RNA, 474 nt
Filed under: Eikenella corrodens
Lineage: Bacteria; Pseudomonadati; Pseudomonadota; Betaproteobacteria; Neisseriales; Neisseriaceae
Description: bacterial SSU rRNA
Rfam family: Bacterial small subunit ribosomal RNA
Source: RNAcentral
AUUGAACGCUGGCGGCAUGCUUUACACAUGCAAGUCGAACGGCAGCGGGGUAGUGCUUGCACUACUGCCGGCGAGUGGCGAACGGGUGAGUAAUAUAUCGGAACGUACCGAGUAAUGGGGGAUAACCAAUCGAAAGAUUGGCUAAUACCGCAUACGUCCUAAGGGAGAAAGCGGGGGAUCGCAAGACCUCGCGUUAUUCGAGCGGCCGAUAACUGAUUAGCUAGUUGGUGGGGUAAAGGCCUACCAAGGCGACGAUCAGUAGCGGGUCUGAGAGGACGAUCCGCCACACUGGGACUGAGACACGGCCCAGACUCCUACGGGAGGCAGCAGUGGGGAAUUUUGGACAAUGGGGGCAACCCUGAUCCAGCCAUGCCGCGUGUAUGAAGAAGGCCUUCGGGUUGUAAAGUACUUUUGUUAGGGAAGAAAAGGGAAGUGUUAAUACCACUUUUGGCUGACGGUACCUAAAGAAUAAGC